RNAcentral lists this ribosomal RNA (305 nucleotides) under uncultured bacterium. Its description in RNAcentral is "bacterial SSU rRNA". It matches the Rfam family "Bacterial small subunit ribosomal RNA", at positions 336 to 636 of the family's 1533-position model. The record is from RNAcentral.
CCCCUACGGGAGGCAGCAGUGAGGAAUAUUGGUCAAUGGGCGCGAGCCUGAACCAGCCAAGUCGCGUGAGGGAAGACGGUCCUAUGGAUUGUAAACCUCUUUUGUCGGGGAGCAAAAGACGCCACGCGUGGCGUUCCGAGAGUACCCGAAGAAAAAGCAUCGGCUAACUCCGUGCCAGCAGCCGCGGUAAUACGUAGGAUCCGAGCAUUAUCCGGAGUGACUGGGUGUAAAGAGUUGCGUAGGUGGCAUAACAAGUAGCUAGUGAAAUCUGGUGGCUCAACCAUUCAGACUAUUAGCUAAACUGU